AUGCAGGACAAAGUAGAAGAACCUGGAGAGGAAAAUAAACAAGCUAAAGAGACAGAGAAAGAUGUCCCCAAACCAGAUCUGUCAGAAAAGCAAGAAAUGCCAGAGGGAUCAAAAACUAGAGAAAAAGAAAAACCAUCUCAGGAACUGCAAGAUCCUGAAGCAACACCUCAAGGAAACACUAAGCCUGGUGGACAGACUACUGAGAUAACUUCUCCAAAAACUGAAGAUGCUGAAGUUUCAUCUCAAGAAUCUACAACUGCAAAAUCAGCAGAGAAAGAGAAAGAAUCAGCUCCAGUGAAACCUGUAGAGGAAGAUACUCCCAAACCAGAUAAACGAGCAUCUUCCGAACAUGCUGAGAGUGGAAAACAGACUACAGGAGAGGAUGCAAAGGAGGACGCUUCUGCAAAAAAAGACAAAUCUGAUAGUAUGAAGGAAGAAACUAAGAAAUCUGAGCAUAUGGAAAAAGAGCAAGAGGAUAACAAACUAACAGAGAAACCUGUGGGGGAAAAGCAAGAGGAUGUGUCAGGUAAAGACGAAAAGCAACAGAAACCUGAGGAGUCUGUAAAAGAUAGCAAAGCUGAACUGGCAGACAAUGUGAAAACAGGAAAAGGUGAAAAUAGUAAGGCUAAAGAACCAGAAAAGACACAAAAAGAGAUUUCAAAGGAUGCCGAAGAACAAUCACAACCGGAAAUGUCAAAGAAACAGGAGGACAGCAAAAGCAGUAGUGAUCUAGAAUGUGUGACAAUUGAAAAGGGUGAAGCUGGUAAUCUGAAAGAAACCGAAAAGACACAAGAAGACCUUUCCAAAGUUGCUGAAGAAAAACCACAACCUCAAAAGCCACAAAUACAAGAGGACAGCAAAAGUGCAGACAGCAUCAAAACAGAAGAGACUGAACAUGCUAAGCCUAAAGAAGCAGAAAAGACACAAGAAGUUUCAAAAGAAGAAAAAUCACAACCCCAAAAGUCACAAAUACAAGAGGACAGCAAAAGUGCAGACAGCAUCAAAACAAACGAGACUGAACAUGCUAAGCCUAAAGAAGCAGAAAAGACACAAGAACUUUCCAAAGAAGAAAAAUCACAACCCCAAAAGCCACAAAAACAAGAGGACAACAAAAGUGCAGACAGCAUCAAAACAGAAGAGACUGAACAUGCUAAGCCUAAAGAAGCGGAAAAGACACAAGAAGUUUCAAAAGAAGAAAAAUCACAACCCCAAAAGUCACAAAUACAAGAGGACAGCAAAAGUGCAGACAGCAUCAAAACAGAAGAGACUGAACAUGCUAAGCCUAAAGAAGCAGAAAAGACACAAGAAGUUUCAAAAGAAGAAAAAUCACAACCCCAAAAGUCACAAAUACAAGAGGACAGCAAAAGUGCAGACAGCAUCAAAACAAACGAGACUGAACAUGCUAAGCCUAAAGAAGCGGAAAAGACACAAGAACUUUCCAAAGAAGAAAAAUCACAACCCCAAAAGUCACAGAUACAAGAAGACCACAAAAGUGACAGCGUAAACAGUGUCAAAACAGAAAAUGUUGAACGUGCUAAGACUAAAGAAACAGAAAAGACACAAGAGGACCUUUCAAAAGUUGGGAAAGAAAAAUCACAACAUGAAAAGUCACAGAAAACGGACGACCAAAAAAGUGACAGUGUAGACAGUGUUAAAACAGAAAAGGUUGAACAUGCUAAGACUAAAGAAGCAGCAAUGACACAAGAAGAACCUUUCAAAGUUGCAGAAGAAAAAUCACAACCUGAAAAGUCUCAGAUACAGGAAGCCCGCAAAAGUGACAGUGUAGACGGCAUCAAAACAGAAAAGGUUGAACAUGCAAAGCCUAAAGAAACUGAAAAGACACAGGAGGACCGCUCCAAAGUUGAGGAGGUAAAAUCAUCUGAGAAGUCAAAGAAACAGGAGGACAGCAAAAGCGAUAGCAGAGCUGAAAGUGUGACAACAAGCGGAGGGGAAGCUGAAGUCACAGAGAAACAGGUUGAUGAAACCCCGAGUAAUCAACCCCCAAAAGCCCAGGAAACAACAUCUGAUGCAAAGCAUGAGCAAAAGGAUACUAAAGAAAGCAAAGAGAUGCCAGAAAAAGCUGAAGAGGUGGAGAGUGUGGUGACCAAAGGCAGUGAAACCAGCAAAGAUGUUAAAAGUCAAGAAACUGUCCAAAAAGACAAAGAAUCAGACAGUGGUGCACAUGAAGUGAUGGCUGCAAAAUCUGAGACGUCAACCAAAACAGAAGCUAAAGCUCUGGAGAAGACAGAGCAGGUCAAGGACAGCAGCAUGGAGGACAACAUGGACACCAAAGGUCCAGAAGAAACAACUAAACCCUCUAGUGUAAAGUAG
Long non-coding RNA from Carassius auratus (goldfish), 2331 nucleotides. Lineage: Eukaryota; Metazoa; Chordata; Actinopteri; Cypriniformes; Cyprinidae. The record is from Ensembl.